Molecule: ribosomal RNA, 446 nt
Filed under: uncultured Lactobacillus sp.
Lineage: Bacteria; Bacillati; Bacillota; Bacilli; Lactobacillales; Lactobacillaceae
Description: bacterial SSU rRNA
Rfam family: Bacterial small subunit ribosomal RNA
Source: RNAcentral
UGCCUUGAAGAUCGGAGUGCUUGCACUCUGUGAAACAAGAUACAGGCUAGCGGCGGACGGGUGAGUAACACGUGGGUAACCUGCCCAAGAGAUCGGGAUAACACCUGGAAACAGAUGCUAAUACCGGAUAACAACAGAUGAUGCCUAUCAACUGUUUAAAAGAUGGUUCUGCUAUCACUCUUGGAUGGACCUGCGGUGCAUUAGCUAGUUGGUAGGGUAACGGCCUACCAAGGCGAUGAUGCAUAGCCGAGUUGAGAGACUGAUCGGCCACAUUGGGACUGAGACACGGCCCAAACUCCUACGGGAGGCAGCAGUAGGGAAUCUUCCACAAUGGACGCAAGUCUGAUGGAGCAACGCCGCGUGAGUGAAGAAGGGUUUCGGCUCGUAAAGCUCUGUUGUUGGUGAAGAAGGACAGGGGUAGUAACUGACCUUUGUUUGACGGUAAU